CACGGUUACAAGUAUCCGAGAUGGAAGCAGGACAGCGGCAGAUUUGAGAGCAACCACCAGGUCCCUGAGUGCAAACUGACCACAGAUGAGCCCCUCCUCCCCACUGCUGACUUGCUGGGUAUAGCGGAGCAGCACCCCUCCAGAGAGCCCUCCUGGGCUGACACCUGCCCUUUGCACCCAGCUGAAAUAAAACUCUUGGAAUCUGC
Molecule: long non-coding RNA, 206 nt
Filed under: Pan troglodytes (chimpanzee)
Lineage: Eukaryota; Metazoa; Chordata; Mammalia; Primates; Hominidae
Description: long non-coding RNA NONPTRT016513
Source: RNAcentral